This 498-nucleotide ribosomal RNA is filed under the name Rossellomorea marisflavi. Its description in RNAcentral is "bacterial SSU rRNA". It matches the Rfam family "Bacterial small subunit ribosomal RNA", at positions 74 to 556 of the family's 1533-position model. The record is from RNAcentral. Lineage: Bacteria; Bacillati; Bacillota; Bacilli; Caryophanales; Bacillaceae.
GGGAGCUUGCUCCCUGAGAUCAGCGGCGGACGGGUGAGUAACACGUGGGUAACCUGCCUGUAAGACUGGGAUAACUCCGGGAAACCGGGGCUAAUACCGGAUAACACCUACCCCCGCAUGGGGGAAGGUUGAAAGGUGGCUUCGGCUAUCACUUACAGAUGGACCCGCGGCGCAUUAGCUAGUUGGUGAGGUAACGGCUCACCAAGGCGACGAUGCGUAGCCGACCUGAGAGGGUGAUCGGCCACACUGGGACUGAGACACGGCCCAGACUCCUACGGGAGGCAGCAGUAGGGAAUCUUCCGCAAUGGACGAAAGUCUGACGGAGCAACGCCGCGUGAGUGAAGAAGGUUUUCGGAUCGUAAAACUCUGUUGUUAGGGAAGAACAAGUGCCGUUCGAAUAGGGCGGCACCUUGACGGUACCUAACCAGAAAGCCACGGCUAACUACGUGCCAGCAGCCGCGGUAAUACGUAGGUGGCAAGCGUUGUCCGGAAUUAUUG